UGGUGUCAAAUUAAGGAAUGAAUAGUUUAUCCCCAGGUGUAGUUCUAGUCAUCACUUUGCAGGAGUGUAUCUUCUCAAAUUACUGGGGUCAAAUUGUGGUCCUCCAUUCUCUUGUUGGACUACAACCCCCCCGGAUUCUCUUGAAGUAUACAGUUAGCCAACAAUUAUAGGAAUUCUAUUCCAUCGUUACUCAACAAUCUUACUCUAAAUUCUACAUUUGUAUGUGUGCAUCUUAUCUGAUUGGCUUGUUCCUGUCAAAGUAUGCCAAACAAUAUACCUAAUCUUAUGUCCUGAGUGCUGCAGAGAUUUUCCUACAAAUUUUUAUCUACACAAGAACCACGUUUUAACCUUGAUCGAUUACAG
This is a non-coding RNA of Pelobates cultripes (western spadefoot toad), 363 nucleotides long. NCBI's taxonomy places the organism in Eukaryota, Metazoa, Chordata, Amphibia, Anura, Pelobatidae. The record is from the annotation of a GenBank genome assembly.